This 774-nucleotide non-coding RNA is filed under the name Chamaemyia juncorum. The record is from RNAcentral. Lineage: Eukaryota; Metazoa; Arthropoda; Insecta; Diptera; Chamaemyiidae.
AAGUUUUAUUUUGGCUUAAGAAUUUAUUAUUAAUUUAUUUUAUAUGUAAAUUUUUGUGUGUAUGAUUAUUAUUUUAAUAAUAAUUUAAUUAUUUAGUCGCAGUAAUUAAUAUUGUAAAUUAAAGAGAUUUAGAUUUAGUUAUAUUAUUUAGUAUUAACAAAAUUUGUGCCAGCAGUUGCGGUUAUACAAAUAAUGCAAAUAAAUUUUAUUAGAUUUAGUUAAAUUGUUAAAUUAAAAUUAAAUGAAUUUUAUUAAGUGAAAUUUUAAUUUUUUUUAUUUUUAUAUGUUUAAAUGUUGAGGCUAAAAAAUUUCAUUUAUAAACUAGGAUUAGAUACCCUAUUAUUAGGAAUGUAUUGGUAUUUUUGGAGUAGUAAUAGGUAGGAUCUUGAAACUUAAAAAAUUUGGCGGUAUUUUAGUCUAUUCAGAGGAAUCUGUUCUUUAAUCGAUAAUCCACGAUGGAUCUCACUUAAAUUUGUUAUCAGUUUAUAUACCGUCGUUAAUAGAUUAUUUUAAUAGAAUAAUAAUUUUCAAUAAUUUUUAUAAAAAUUAAAAUCAGAUCAAGGUGUAGCUUAUAUUUAAGGAAGUAAUGGAUUACAAUAAUAUUAAUUUUGGAUUUUAAUUAAAAUAUAAUAAUGAAAUUGGAUUUGAAAGUAAAAUUAUAUAGAUUAAUGAUUUGAUUUUAGCUCUAAAAUAUGCACAAAUCGCCCGUCGCUCUUAUUUUAAAAUAAGAUAAGUCGUAACAUAGUAGAUGUACCGGAAGGUGUAUCUAGAAUA